Molecule: ribosomal RNA, 208 nt
Filed under: Staphylococcus haemolyticus
Lineage: Bacteria; Bacillati; Bacillota; Bacilli; Caryophanales; Staphylococcaceae
Description: partial 23S ribosomal RNA
Rfam family: Bacterial large subunit ribosomal RNA
Source: RNAcentral
AGUUGUCUCGCCAGAGGCAUCGCUGGGUAGCUAUGUAGGGAAGGGAUAAACGCUGAAAGCAUCUAAGUGUGAAGCCCACCUCAAGAUGAGAUUUCCCAUGAUUUUAUAUCAGUAAGAGCCCUGAGAGAUGAUCAGGUUGAUAGGUUAGAAGUGGAAGUGUGGUGACACAUUUAGCGGACUAAUACUAAUAGCUCGAGGACUUAUCCAA